RNA transcript from Serinus canaria (Common canary), 1712 nucleotides. It is a transcript of the gene named calcium/calmodulin dependent protein kinase II inhibitor 1, with no coding region annotated. Lineage: Eukaryota; Metazoa; Chordata; Aves; Passeriformes; Fringillidae. The record is from RefSeq and is a predicted model, not a curated record. The transcript is spliced from 2 exons.
UCCACGGCUGGAUUUGGAGGAGGAGCCGGUCCCUGGCGAUUCCGGUGCCGGGAAAGGGCCACGUCCCACCAGCUGUAGAUGGCGGUGGCUGCCUGCAGGGCGAGGCAGCCCGCGGAACAGAAUCCCAGAGGGAACAGCGGAACACAGCUCAAAAAGCCACACUGCAGCCCCAAAACCCAGAAGACAGAUUGAAAUGGCAGAGUCCCAUCUGCUGGAAGAGGUGUCCCUCCUCUUCAGGGGAACGACCACCCCAGAAAGCCUCAUCCCCUCACUGGGGACAGCAGGGAGGUCAGUUCUCCUCACGGAGACAUGGCCUCGAGCCUUGGUGUUUUGCCCAGGAAUGGAGCAUCAGUGGUUAUUGAAGAUGAUAGAAUUGAUGAUGUGCUGCAAAACCUCUCCGAAAAGGCCCCUCCCGGUGUUUAAAGCCUCCCUGGGGACGCUGGGCUGAGGCUCGGGGUGGGGUCGGUUUACAAUGGCACAGGUGAUCGGCAGAGAAUAACCCCCAGCACCGCAGCGACCGCCCGCCGAGCGCCGCGAACGCCGCCCGCGCCCGCCUGCGGCCCCGCGGCUCCUCCUGCCCUCCGGAGACGCGGGAGGGGAGGGCGGCGAGCGAGCCAGAGCCCAGCCGUGAAUUCAAAAAUGAUAAUAAAUUAAAAUAUAUCUAUGUAAUCGGGAAAAUAGUGACCUGCUUCAAACUCCCCGCCCCGAGGGAUGGACGGAGGAGGCACGCUGCGGCUCUGAAUUACUCGGGAUCGCUUUUCUCGAGAUGAUGAACCUUGUGCCGCGCUAGAUCGGGGGGUAAGAGGAAAGGGGGCAGCGGGAGAUGGGGGGAGCGGGGGGAACAGCCCCUGGAGUCUCCCUCCGGCCAGGGUUGUUCCCAGCGGGCACCUUGUUUACAUGAUUUAAUCUUGCAAAAAUGAAUCCGUGCACUUGGAUGUACCACGCUAUCCCCUUCUGUAUGAGUUUCUUUUUUUUUAUGUUGAUGUCUUUGGAUGUUGGGAAAUUAUAUAAAAUAGAUAUAUAUAUAUAUAUUUAAUUUUAGUCGCGUUUUAAGGUUCUCGAGGGGGAAAACCAAAACUUUUAUAAAGGAAAGGCCUGAAGGAAGAAUUGCUGGUUUAUUUUUUAAAGCUUGUACUUCUUGGUUGCUGUGAGCAAAGGGACAGAUUUUAUAUGUAUGGGGGAGGGCGGGGGGGUUGCUCAGCUUUUCUAACUACCAUGCAAUCUGUAGUGUGGGUGAUCUUGGUUUUGUUUUCUUUUUUUCCUUAUAUUGUGGCAGUUUCCUCUCUUUAACAGACUGUAUUAAAACAUAUAUAUAAAAGAAAUUAUUUAAUGUAAUCACAAGAGUGCCAAACACUUGGAGAUGCUGGAGGGCAGCGAUUCCCUCCCUGAGACGAGAAGCACUUGGAGCUUUCUGCUCUUUCUAGGGCUCGGUCGAUCUCUCGUGGGGUUUUCUCUGACUUCUCUUUUCUAAUCUUUCUUUUUAACUAUUUUGCAUGAUGUGCAUAAAAACAAAAGGGGAAAAAAAAGAGGGGGGGGGACAAAAAGCGCCUCUGGCGCCCGGGCUUGAUUCUUGUUUCUGUUUGCGAUUGACUGACAGACCUCAAGGCAGGUUUUUCUUUCCUCCUUUUCUUAAAUAUUGUGUAUGUUGCACUUUUAUCCACUACACAGGGCUAUUUCUGCAAUGUCCGAAUAAAAAGGAAAAUGAAACAAAA